This 1005-nucleotide long non-coding RNA is filed under the name Eutrema salsugineum. Its description in RNAcentral is "long non-coding RNA (ESAL_LNC001909)". Lineage: Eukaryota; Viridiplantae; Streptophyta; Magnoliopsida; Brassicales; Brassicaceae. The record is from RNAcentral.
GAAAUUUAAAAUUUAGUGUGAUAGAUUUGGAACAGAAACUAAUUUUUAUACUUUUUGGUCAAUUAUUUUAUUAAGGCACACAAACCAGAAAACGGUAUAACAUUUGACCCAAAUACUAGUCCAAUGGAUUACACACAUUAAAAAAAAAAUAAAGAUAGACAUGAAACUUAAACAAGACAUGUGUAUUAGGUGGGGAGUUUCAUCCCCACGUGACCGCUGGAGAAGAUAAGAACGAAAACUUUAUCGGACACUUCAUCUCCGUCGUAAUCUUACACCGCCGACGUUGUUGAUAAAAAAAUCUUGUCGUCACCGCCGUGAAGCUUCAACUUGUGCCAGUAUGUACCGCAAGAUCCCUUUACAGUUUCGCUGGAGGAGAUCGAGUAUAGCAAACUUGAAACACCGGAAUAAAUAUCGGUUGACUGGAUCCGGAAUAUUCUCUAGAUGACCACCAAAACAUGGCGAGAAAAUCUAAAUCUUCAUAAUCCUCUAUAAUCAAACCGCAUCAUCUUGAUACAUCUACCAUGAAGUACCUUCGCUCAAUACAUCUACCAUGAAGUACCUGCUUACGCGGAGUGUAACAAUAAAAUCCUCGCUAUGAUACAUCUAUCAUGAAGUAUCAUGGAAGAAAUAGAAAGUAACGGUGAAUCAAUCGAUUACUUUUGGAAUUUGAUUACUUCGUAAAGAAGAGUCAAAGAUAGCAUGCAAAAAGGAUAAAAACUAAAUUCAAACAAAUUGGAAAUACUAAAUCUGAUGAACGGAAGGAAGUAUAAUACAUAAAACCGAUCUUGCCAGAACUUAUUCUCCGAUUAAACGGAAUAACAAAAAAGAAUAUAAACAAAAGGAGAACAGUCAAAAAAAAAAAAAAAAAGGAGAACAGUCUCUCUCUAUCUCUUUCUGUGAAAGAAUUUAAGAGAGAGAAUAGAGAGAGAGCUAUCCGGCCCAAGUAAUUUUUAUACUUUCAUGAUAUUUCUCAAAUUUUUUAUAGUAAACACCUAAAUUUUAAAU